CGAGGUGCUUGCCGCAUCAAACAGGCCAAGGCCAAACAGAAUUAUUGGUGUGCUGCAAUGUUGAAAACAACAUUUUUCUUACUGAGAAGAGUACCCCUGUAAUGAAAAUAGAAGAACUUGGGCUGAUGAAAUAGUGUAUGUUAUGAAAAAUUGCUAUUAGGAAAAAAAGGCAAGUAUAAUCUGAUAUGCCACAAAAUUUCCUUGACACAUGGAGGGGAGCAAAAUGCACAGUACAAAAGCAGCCAGAACCCAUUGUGGCACUGUGGGAGAACUAAAAAGAGGCUGGCAGAGCUGGUCAGAGGAUCAUGUUGAUUAUCAGAGACGGAACCCGUUCAGCAGUGACAAGCCACUAACUUUAUGCACUGGGAGAGGAGACCCAGCUUAUGGCCGUCCCCCUGAAGGCUCCAAAACAGAGCAGAGAGGAAAAGAUGCUCACACACACAUAAGCAAAGAAGUGGAAGAAUUAUGCUUGGUCAUAAGUAGUGUUGGAGAGCGGGGGCAAGAUGGCUAUGUGAGAAUAACGUUUAAACAUCUAUUUGACAGAUACGUGACUAUAUCCAAUAAAGUAGUAGGUGUCUUACUGAGAGCAAGGAAGCAUGGCCUAGUUGAUUUUGAAGGUGAAAUGCUUUGGCAAGGAAAAGAUGAUGAUGUAGUUAUCACCUUACUUGAAUAAGAUGGUUGGAUAAAUAUUAUUGCAUGAUACAUUUGGGAAUAUUUUAAAGGCCUGGAACAACAAUUUUGGCUGGCCAAGACCUAGUUCCGAAAAUGCUAUCAGAUGGGAACAUGUUAAACAAAAGUGAAAUACUGCUCAUUAAUUUAGGCCUCUGCCAAUGCAUUAUCUAGUGUCUUCCCCAGCCUUCUAUAUAUUGCAAGUGAUAAUCUGCAAGUACUGAGCUGGAAACAUGUAAGGUGGAAAACAAAUGGAUGUGUUUCAGAUGAGUCAUGGUGUUUGAAGUGUAAAUACUAACAAGUAACUGGAAGUGAUACAAACAUAUUUUAGCACUUUUAGAGGCUGACUGUUCUUAUAGCACUGAUGUGAAUAAAGGAUAAUUAAGAAAUGCAUUAACUGUGAAAUUAAUGACAAAAUAAGAUCCUUUAAAAUUACAAGCCACAACAUAGAAGUAGGCAAGUGUAAUCA
This is a long non-coding RNA of Elgaria multicarinata webbii, 1138 nucleotides long. RefSeq lists it as uncharacterized. The record is from RefSeq and is a predicted model, not a curated record. The transcript has 3 exons. NCBI's taxonomy places the organism in Eukaryota, Metazoa, Chordata, Lepidosauria, Squamata, Anguidae.